GCAUCAAUAAUAUAAAUAUAUUAGUAUUCUAUCUUUCCAAGUUAGAUGUUUGAGUUGUC
RNAcentral lists this transfer RNA (59 nucleotides) under Protopolystoma xenopodis. Its description in RNAcentral is "tRNA-Gly". Lineage: Eukaryota; Metazoa; Platyhelminthes; Monogenea; Polystomatidea; Polystomatidae. The record is from RNAcentral.